CAUAGUUCCCAAUAUAUGGCAGUAGUUACCAAACCGAACGUAAUUAUUCCAAUUUUCUACAAUUCACUGUACGUUCCCAUUACUAAUCUACGGGCAACCUUCUAAUCCAUAAAUUUGCAUGCGUACUAUUUAUUCACGCAUUUCAUUCACCAGAACAUUCUCAAUGAUUCAUUCAUCCGUUCUGUUCGUUACAUACGCGUUCAUACGCAACUAUGAUUAUGAGCCGACGAUAAUAUACCAAAGAGUCAACCACAAUUGUAACAGUAUACCAUGUUACGUCAUCAAACUGUAUAUUAUGGUAAUACAUAAAAAAUAUAAUUACAGUAUAAAUCCAAUAUACAAAGUAAAAUACCUACGCAAUAACCUGUUAUAAAACACUAGUCCGGGUUAAGGAAACUACAUAACGUAUUCAUUGUACGUAAUAGAGGUUACAGCCUUUACAUACGCGUAUCCAUUUGGAUAUGUGUUUACACAUAUGACAAGCUUAGAAAGACGAAUGCGAUCAUGCAAGAGACUACCGUUAAGCUGUUACGUGUAUACUCUUACUGUGAAAAGCAUCACGACAUUCGACGAAAUGACGAUAACUCACUCAAGAGUUCUACGCAUGAGAUAUAUGGUGUAUAUGCACGCGAGAUACAAUUCCUUUAUCGCUAUCUUAUUCUGACAAUUCGUAUAAUCUUGAGAAACGAUCAACGUCUCUGACGUGAGAGAAAUCAUGGACAAGGUCUCAGCCGACCGUUCAAGGUCGAAAGUGCUUAUGCUUGGGAAUACAUAUCGCUGUCCAAAUACAAGUGAGGAUUGUUACUUAUCGUCACCAUAUUUUUCCGUUAUCAAUCUUAUUCGAUUGUUAUUACCGAUUAUCGAUUGUACUACAGUCUAUGUUAUCAUGCUCGCGUGGAUUCGUGAUAGCUACUCAAAUAAAUCGUUUAAAGUGAACUACCAUAAAAAAUUGAAUCAUAUCGAUUGUAAUCUUUUUCUUUCCAGAACGACUCAUCGAUAAAUCCAAAAAGUGGCUGCUACAAAUUUUCUAAUAAAUUCUAGAAGCAUAAGAUAACAGGACGAUACACGGUAGACUUUCGUAACAUGUGGCUACUGAAGCGAAGGCGUUCCUUCGAAGGACGUAGAAAAGAAUGUAGUCCCAAUCGAAGUAUUCCAAGACUAGGAAGACCAGCAAGUUAUAAAAGGUGGACUAGACCGUUUAUCAGGAAUAUAAAAAGCUGAGUGUGUACCGUACGACACGAUGGUAAGAUUCUCAUGAGGUAAAACGACUACUUUUUUCAGUGGCACAAGACAGGAAAGUGCAAGGAGAGAGUAGAGAGCGCAAAGAAGCCAGACCGGAUACGAAAAGUAGCAGUAACGUAAUUUCUUGCUGAAAACCAGAAAAGUCGGAUCACGAUGGUCAUUAUCAUUUCGUUACGACGAGGCACGUGAAAUGCGUAUAUAGCUGCUGCAUCUAUGUAUAUAUAUAUAUAUAUAUAUACCCAUAGAGAAGAUCAUGGACCAAGUGUGUAGUGUCGUAAAAGUCGAGUCUUUCUUUCAUCGCUGUAAGGCGAUCGACCUCGUGUUAAUCCAUUUACUUUCUACAGGUCGAAGGGUCUUCCAGACCCCGAUCUACGUCCUUAAGGAGCCGAUUUUAAUCGGCCUACCUACCAGUAGUAAGGAUCACCACCCAGACUACACUCGGAACGUAUUAACUUGGCAUAUUAUAUUUUUUAAAUCGA
Cephus cinctus (wheat stem sawfly) is the source of this 1721-nucleotide long non-coding RNA. RefSeq lists it as uncharacterized. Lineage: Eukaryota; Metazoa; Arthropoda; Insecta; Hymenoptera; Cephidae. The transcript has 3 exons. The record is from RefSeq and is a predicted model, not a curated record.